Molecule: transfer RNA, 75 nt
Filed under: compost metagenome
Description: tRNA-Gln
Rfam family: tRNA
About the family: Transfer RNA (tRNA) molecules are approximately 80 nucleotides in length.
Source: RNAcentral
UAGCCCUUUAGCCAAGUGGUUUAAGGCUUCACUCUUUGAAAGUGAGAUCGUAGGUUCGAUUCCUACAAGGGCUAU